GGCUGGGACCUUGAUUGAUUUUAUUAAGCCCUUAACACCUUGUUUAAGGGUUUUUGUAGUAUGUAAAUGGUGAGGAGUUUUCCCUGGGAACCUUCAUCAUCUUGACGAGCCUCAUUCACCUCAAGCCUUCAGAAGUCUU
Sphaerodactylus townsendi is the source of this 139-nucleotide long non-coding RNA. RefSeq lists it as uncharacterized. Lineage: Eukaryota; Metazoa; Chordata; Lepidosauria; Squamata; Sphaerodactylidae. The record is from RefSeq and is a predicted model, not a curated record. The transcript is spliced from 2 exons.